CACGUAGGGGGCAAGCGUUGUCCGGAAUUAUUGGGCGUAAAGAGCUCGUAGGCGGCUCGGUAAGUCAGGUGUCAAAUCCUCAGGCUCAACCUGGGGCUCCACCUGAUACUGCUGUGGCUAGAGUCCGGUAGGGGAGCGUGGAAUUCCUGGUGUAGCGGUGAAAUGCGCAGAUAUCAGGAGGAACACCAGUGGCGAAGGCGGCGCUCUGGGCCGGAACUGACGCUGAGGAGCGAAAGCGUGGGUAGCAAACAGG
This 253-nucleotide ribosomal RNA is filed under the name uncultured bacterium. RNAcentral describes it as "partial 16S ribosomal RNA". It matches the Rfam family "Bacterial small subunit ribosomal RNA", at positions 524 to 776 of the family's 1533-position model. The record is from RNAcentral.